ACAGGCUUAACACAUGCAAGUCGAGGGGCAUCAGGAAGAAAGCUUGCUUUCUUUGCUGGCGACCGGCGCACGGGUGAGUAACACGUAUCCAACCUGCCCUUUACUCGGGGAUAGCCUUUCGAAAGAAAGAUUAAUACCCGAUAGCAUAAUGAUUCCGCAUGGUUUCAUUAUUAAAGGAUUCCGGUAAAGGAUGGGGAUGCGUUCCAUUAGGUUGUUGGUGAGGUAACGGCCCACCAAGCCUUCGAUGGAUAGGGGUUCUGAGAGGAAGGUCCCCCACAUUGGAACUGAGACACGGUCCAAACUCCUACGGGAGGCAGCAGUGAGGAAUAUUGGUCAAUGGGCGCUAGCCUGAACCAGCCAAGUAGCGUGAAGGAUGAAGGCUCUAUGGGUCGUAAACUUCUUUUAUAUAAGAAUAAAGUGCAGUAUGUAUACUGUUUUGUAUGUAUUAUAUGAAUAAGGAUCGGCUAACUCCGUGCCAGCAGCCGCGGUAAUACGGAGGAUCCGAGCGUUAUCCGGAUUUAUUGGGUUUAAAGGGAGCGUAGGUGGACUGGUAAGUCAGUUGUGAAAGUUUGCGGCUCAACCGUAAAAUUGCAGUUGAUACUGUCAGUCUUGAGUACAGUAGAGGUGGGCGGAAUUCGUGGUGUAGCGGUGAAAUGCUUAGAUAUCACGAAGAACUCCGAUUGCGAAGGCAGCUCACUGGACUGCAACUGACACUGAUGCUCGAAAGUGUGGGUAUCAAACAGGAUUAGAUACCCUGGUAGUCCACACAGUAAACGAUGAAUACUCGCUGUUUGCGAUAUACAGUAAGCGGCCAGGCGAAAGCAUUAAGUGUUCCACCUGGGGAGUACGCCGGCAACGGUGAAACUCAAAGGAAUUGACGGGGGCCCGCACAAGCGGAGGAACAUGUGGUUUAAUUCGAUGAUACGCGAGGAACCUUACCCGGGCUUAAAUUGCAGUGGAAUGAUGUGGAAACAUGUCAGUGAGCAAUCACCGCUGUGAAGGUGCUGCAUGGUUGUCGUCAGCUCGUGCCGUGAGGUGUCGGCUUAAGUGCCAUAACGAGCGCAACCCUUAUCUUUAGUUACUAACAGGUUAUGCUGAGGACUCUAGAGAGACUGCCGUCGUAAGAUGUGAGGAAGGUGGGGAUGACGUCAAAUCAGCACGGCCCUUACGUCCGGGGCUACACACGUGUUACAAUGGGGGGUACAGAAGGCAGCUAGCGGGUGACCGUAUGCUAAUCCCAAAAUCCUCUCUCAGUUCGGAUCGAAGUCUGCAACCCGACUUCGUGAAGCUGGAUUCGCUAGUAAUCGCGCAUCAGCCACGGCGCGGUGAAUACGUUCCCGGGCCUUGUACACACCGCCCGUCAAGCCAUGGGAGCCGGGGGUACCUGAAGUACGUAACCGCAAGGAUCGUCCUAGGGUAAAACUGGUGACUGGGGCUAAAUCA
RNAcentral lists this ribosomal RNA (1443 nucleotides) under uncultured organism. Its description in RNAcentral is "SSU rRNA". It matches the Rfam family "Bacterial small subunit ribosomal RNA". The record is from RNAcentral.